GACGAACGCUGGCGGCGUGCUUAACACAUGCAAGUCGAACGGAAAGGCCCUGCUUUUGUUGGGUGCUCGAGUGGCGAACGGGUGAGUAACACGUGAGUAACCUGCCCUUGCCUUUGGGAUAACUUCAGGAAACUGGGGCUAAUACCGGAUAGGAGCUCCUGCUGCAUGGUGGGGGUUGGAAAGUUUCGGCGGUUGGGGAUGGACUCGCGGCUUAUCAGCUUGUUGGUGGGGUAGUGGCUUACCAAGGCUUUGACGGGUAGCCGGCCUGAGAGGGUGACCGGCCACAUUGGGACUGAGAUACGGCCCAGACUCCUACGGGAGGCAGCAGUGGGGAAUAUUGCACAAUGGGCGGGAGCCUGAUGCAGCAACGCCGCGUGCGGGAUGACGGCCUUCGGGUUGUAAACCGCUUUCGCCUGUGACGAAGCGUGAGUGACGGUAAUGGGUAAAGAAGCACCGGCUAACUACGUG
RNAcentral lists this ribosomal RNA (468 nucleotides) under uncultured bacterium. RNAcentral describes it as "partial 16S ribosomal RNA". It matches the Rfam family "Bacterial small subunit ribosomal RNA", at positions 28 to 507 of the family's 1533-position model. The record is from RNAcentral.